Long non-coding RNA from Parus major (Great Tit), 5521 nucleotides. RefSeq lists it as uncharacterized. The transcript has 3 exons. NCBI's taxonomy places the organism in Eukaryota, Metazoa, Chordata, Aves, Passeriformes, Paridae. The record is from RefSeq and is a predicted model, not a curated record.
CGCCGAGGGGCUGCCCACAGCCCGCUCUGCUGAACCCAGCCGGACCAGACGCGCGGGGGGGAGGGGAGACACAGGAGAGCCGGGGAUGGAGGGGGAGAGGUGACUGUGGGAGAAUAUAUCUCCCCUACACAUCACUCCCACCCUUCUUCUGGUGCAAGCGCCACUAAAUCUCGCCGUAACGUUCCUCCGCUUUAGGAGAGACUUGCAGGACUCUUAGAGGGAUACAGGUGGCCAGCCGGGAGUCUCUCUUUCCUCUCCAGCCUCCUGGACAGCGGGUCCUUAGCGUCCAUCCCGCGGCCGGCGGCCGGAGGGCUCCCGAGGGCACCUCACAGGUUAUCCCCGGGCGGUCCUUCCUCCCAGGAGACACGGCAGGGUCCGGGGGUGCCGUGAUCCUGGCGGUGCCGGAGCGCACCUGGACCGAGUGCCCAGCCAGGAAACUCCGGGCCGGACACAGCCCCGCGGGACUUGGCGGUACCUGCCGCGGGCAGGACACGCUCUCUCCAAAGGAGAUCCUGCCGCUUUCCUACACAACUACGAGCGAAUGAUCACCCGGGGGUGGGGGGUGAUGCUUCUACGAGCGGGCGGGGGGCAGCUACCGGCUCAGGGUACUCGCGGUACCCGGGGUCUCGCCGGCCCCGCCGCCCUGUCCCUUGCGCGUUGUCACCGGUCGCUGUUGGAACCGUGGCACCGCAAACACCGCCGGGGCCACCGCCCUCACCCUCCCUGGCAGCGACAACAGCGACAGAGGCGCAGUGAAGGUUCACCUGCCGCAGGACACGGCGAGCCCGUGUCUUCUCGGUGACAAGUUUACAGGACGUACCGCUUCAAAAUCCACGGCAAACUGAAGCACCCUCGGAGGGCACUUGUGCAGACAGCCCGUGCCCGUGCUGGGGAAUCGCUCCGACCUCUCUGCUCUGCCUCCAGCUCUGCCUCCUUCUCUGGCCGCACCGCGGCUCCCGCACACCGCGGGCACCCCCUGCCCGGGAGCUGCGGGGAGCUGCGGGAUCGGGACAGGGGCUGAUGCUGGCUUUGCUCGUUUCUAUGACGGACCGACACACGAGGUUGGUUGAACUCGGUACCUUAAAGGGACUUCACAACCUAAACGAUUUCAUGAUUGGUUCUAUGAUCUCCGGCUCUGCAAUGGACACCGUACAUACAGGAAUGGAAGUCUUUGGCCAGCCUGAGCGGGGUGUUUAAUUUCCCAUGAAAACUAGAGCUCUCUAGGAGCAAACAGAAAGUGCUUUUCCCGUAGUGGGCUGUUUCUCGAGCUAGCAUGGGGGUUUUCUCUUUCCCUGAAAUAAGCUAGCUUGAUAAAUCAUCUUGAAAGGGAACAAAUGUUUUCUUGAUCGCUUAGCUCUGCAUUACUCCAUCUGGAAGGAAGAACUGCCGAAAUCCUUCCAAACCUUCUCCUCUCUCACUUUCCAGCAGUGAAACGAGACCUUGGCCAUUAGCGCAUCCUUCCUCCCCGCGGCUCCUGGAGAGGCUGGCGGGGGGGCUCCGGGGUUGCCAGCUCAGCUCAGCUCAGCUCGGCUCAGCUCAGCUCAGCUCAGCCCUGUGCUGGGCCAAGCCCGGCACCUGCUCCCUCCGGGCCGCCUCAGCCGUGCGGGGCACGGAGCGCGCCCGCCGCCAGCGCCCGGAGGCGUCCCGGGUAAUCCUCAGCGGCGGAGCCCGAGCACGGGGAGGAAAGCCCGGACCCUUCUGUCUCGGGAUGGGCUGAGAACUUUUGGGAAACGGCCAGCGGCACUUUCCUCAGCUGUUCCCGUCCAGCCAGCGCCAGGGAGAGAGAGAUAUCUCCCGUCCCGCUGCCCCAGCAUAGGCCGGGAGCGCUGGCAGCAGCUCCCCUCGGGGGCGCACGGCAUGCCGAGAGGAGCUGCUCCCUCUUUGCAGGAGGCAUUUGCCCGCCUCUUCCCGAGAUCCCGACCCCAAUUCCGAUCACACUCCCUGUCUCGCCCAAGAGUGCUUGGGUGCCCAGUCAACUGGGCCAAGCAGUGGCCGAGGAGAUGGCAGUUCAGGGCCGGCAUCUCCUUUGUCGGCUUCCAGAACCAGGCGGCCCGGAACAUUUUGCCCUGUCCCCUCCAAACACAGCCCGAUCCAGAACUCUGCCAGGCUUCAUUGCCCGCUUCCAUUGGUAAUUCCUGAUAACGCUCAGCCUUCGAUUGUGCUGAAGGCAUAUUCUACAAGGUUAAACAAUAGCUGGAGGAGGAUAAUUCUAGUGAGAGUCCCACUCGAUCCCGAGAAAAACGGGGUGGGGAACCUGCUUCCACCUGAGCACCGCCGCCGCACCUCCCCAGCCGACGAUUUCUCUCUGCCAUGCUGCUGACAAGUUAAGGGAUCGGUCAUUCUUACUAAACUCCUAAACGAUCCCCCCGCGGUUCGGAGGUGGGCGAGACUGACUGAAACGGAGAUAAAUCCCCAGCCUUUCCCCUCCUGCUCACGCCGCUCACAGCACGCAGGGGGAUCUGUCUCCUUUCACUCAGGGAGCUGAUCAGAGUUUGAUUAUUUAAGUGCUAAGAGCAGCAGAAACAAAGCUGCGAAGCAUCUCCAGGAGCGCAGGGGGCAGAAACUCAUCACGGCGGGCUCAAUCCCUCAUUGCCGCCUGCAAGGCAGGACCAUCCUUCCCUGUGCGGGCUGUCGUGGGCACGGGAACGCUUUCGAGCUGCUUAGAGGACAUUUUGUGUAUCCCCUGAGGGUAAAAGAGGUUUGUCUGAUGCACAGAGGAGGAAAGAUGCGCGGCUCUCCCCGCAGCUGCCGGGGACCCCUCCGGGCGGGUGCGGGGAUGAUGAAGAAGCUCCCGCGGGGUCCUGAACAUCUCCCUUGGUCCCGGCUCUUCCCCCGCCCGGCCGGGGCAGCCUCCCCAGAGCCGAGCCCGCCGUGCAGCGGGCCGGGCCAGGCCGCCGGGGCUUGGGCCAUUAUUGUACCGUAAAUCUUGGAAACGCUGGAACUAAUUACGGAGAGGAUAUGUCUCAAUUUGUUCCGCAUUAGUGCCGCGCCGGGACGCAGGCACCGAGCACGUGAAAUUGAUGGGCCCGGCCCGGCCCAGCCCCGAAGGGACGGCGGCCCUGACCCCGCGUUCAACCCGGGGGCGGCCCCGCUCCGCCUCCCGCACCUGCGGGGCCCCGAGGCCGCCCCGCACCCGCACCCGGCCCGGCCCGGGCGGUGCCCGCUGCAGCGCCGAGGUACCACUCGGGCUCCGGGAAAUUUAUUGGCGUGCUGCUAGGACGAGGCUCGGUAUAAAUCACCCAGCUGUAUAGGGCCAUAAAGCAUCCCCCUGUAUCCCGCCCUCGCCGGGGUUCUGGUGAAUAGGAGUUCAUGGAAGGCUGGGUAUCAGUAACAUCUUUCAGAUCUGGAGUAUGUGACGUUUUUAGAGUCUUAGAUAUACAAUGGGCUAUACUUAUGGAGCGGCUAAAAGUAUUACAUAGAAUUUUUAUAGGUAUUUUGUACUUACAUGCAAAAGAAAUUUUUGGGGAAAAAGCUCUUAGGUAAUAUGCUCAGUUCUUGGCAUUGCCGGUAAUGGCCUUGAAAGUAAUAAAAUUAUUAUUUCGGCAGGAGAAAAAUAAAAAUAUGCUAAAAUUUAGUGCAUUAUAAAUGGAUAUCUGGUAACUGAGACUUAAGGAAUUAAUUACUCCCAGGUCACAGCAUGCAGAUCCCACUGUAAAGGCACACUGAACUCUAAAUGUAAUAAUGUGUAAACACAUCUGUAACAAUACCUGGCAUGGACAGCAAUUCAAAGAAUUCUUUGAGCCACCUGGGACAUCAUCUUUGGAUAUGGGUACAUACUAGAAAUAUAAACCAAAGAUUUAUAUAUUCAAAAGAAUUAGAAAGGAUCCAGCUGCAAUGGACAAAUGCUGCAGUAUCCUCAGUACCUCAGGGGAAGGAAAGGCACCCACAGCCUCAGGCCUCACUAACUGUGGGACAUUACAGGACAGGGACAGAAGAUGAAUUAUCCUUUACCAGUUUCUCCAUAAACUGGCUAUGAACCAACCAUCCAUAGCCUUUAUCUAUCAACUUAACUCUUUAAAAAACACACUUUAACAGUACAAAGCAAGGUCCAAGUCUCCCUUUGUUCCUGCAAAACCCUUUGGCAGCCCUGUGCAAAGACACCCUCUUCAUCAGUUGUCCUCAGUGGGAAACAAGAGGGCUCCAUGUCUUAGCUGAGGGUCUAAACCCUUUUUCACUGGUUUUGUUCAUUGUACACACCUCAGAGGAAUUUGUCCAUGCAAGCCCCUGACUAAAAGUGCUGUAAGGCAAGUGUUCUCACUGAAAUCAGUGCCUGAGGAUGCCAGUCCACCAGGAUUUGUACCACAUAAUGGGGAAGGUCAAGCAUUUCCUCUGCCUGAGGACGUUUGGUGAGUGCAGAAGACAAGCAGUGGGGACAAUGUGCCUGAUGCCUAAAGCAGAAGAGAAUCAAAAGCUCCCGGGUUCUGUUCAAUACCUUCUGCACACUCUAGAGAAAUGGAAGAGGUGACAGCAGUUUUGCCAGAACCAUGGGGGACUCCAGCAGUAUUUGUGGGUGCUUGGAGGCCUUGGGUAAGCAAAGAAAAGCAGAUGGUUGCAUUUUGCAGUGCAGCUUUGUGUGAUGUGUCAGUGAUGUGACCCGUGAGGGGGUGGCAGGGCUGGAGAGCUGUUGCAACUCGCCGAGUCCCUCCUCCCAGCCCCAGCAGCACAGCACAGCCAACACCCACGGCUCCUUCACAGCCUGGGCAGACAUUCCACUGCCCCCAGCCUCCCAGCACAGCCCUUUGGCUUCCUUAGAAACAGAGCAAACCCAGUCCUUCGUAACCACAGCUACACGAAGGCGUGUGUAGCUUCUCUCUCUGGACUGCACGUAGCGAUACGUGUGGAUUGCAGCAGUACACGUGAGGUACAAGCUCAUUUUACCCAUCUGGAUGGCUGGAAGCAACAGGCAGCAAAAAUGUAGCCCCAGCUGAAACCAGAGGUUUCUCAGUUCUUAGGUCUGAGGUUUCCCACUCAGUGUGGCUUUUGGUCAAACCCGAAGUUUUACAGGCAAAGUCUCCCUUGUGUGGGUGUGGGACAUCUGGUGUGGAUGUGAGUGUGAAAGGCCAUCUGAAAAGUCCAUGGUUUCAGGGCAUCAACCCAAGAGAGAUCUGCUGCAAGAAGGGACAGAAGCCACAGUAUCAGAUUCAGAUGGGCUGCUGUCACUGCUUUCAGAUCUGUGACCAUCACUGUCCAACUGCAGCUUCUGCUGCCCCCACUGCCACUGUCCCACAAAGCUCAUGCUGAGCAGGGAAAGCUGGAGAGGAAGCUGCGGGGUGAGGUGGGGGAAAAAAGGAGACGAGGGAGGGAACCCACAUGUUGAACUUGCCUUAGAAGUCACAUUUCUUCUUCAUGAGAUGCAGGACAUUCCUUUCCCUUCAGAUUUUAUGUCUGUUUGAUUGCACUAAAUUCAUCUGAGUGCUGCUAUGACACAGGAAUUAAAAGCACCGAAGGUUUGCCGUAGCUGUUGAGUCAUGGGCGCAGACUGAUCAAAUCUACCGCUUGUUUUUCUUCCUAUUACAUGAAA